This 972-nucleotide ribosomal RNA is filed under the name Protostropharia semiglobata. RNAcentral's name for it is "LSU rRNA". It matches the Rfam family "Eukaryotic large subunit ribosomal RNA", at positions 1 to 959 of the family's 3401-position model. The record is from RNAcentral. Lineage: Eukaryota; Fungi; Basidiomycota; Agaricomycetes; Agaricales; Strophariaceae.
GACCUCAAAUCAGGUAGGACUACCCGCUGAACUUAAGCAUAUCAAUAAGCGGAGGAAAAGAAACUAACAAGGAUUCCCCUAGUAACUGCGAGUGAAGCGGGAAAAGCUCAAAUUUAAAAUCUGGCGGUCUUUGGCCGUCCGAGUUGUAAUCUAGAGAAGUGUUAUCCGCGCUGGACCGUGUACAAGUCUCCUGGAAUGGAGCGUCAUAGAGGGUGAGAAUCCCGUCUUUGACACGGACUGCCAGGGCUUUGUGAUGCGCUCUCAAAGAGUCGAGUUGUUUGGGAAUGCAGCUCAAAAUGGGUGGUAAAUUCCAUCUAAAGCUAAAUAUUGGCGAGAGACCGAUAGCGAACAAGUACCGUGAGGGAAAGAUGAAAAGAACUUUGGAAAGAGAGUUAAACAGUACGUGAAAUUGCUGAAAGGGAAACGCUUGAAGUCAGUCGCAUUGUCUGGGAAUCAACCUUGCUUUUGCUGGGCGUACUUUCCAGAUGAUGGGUCAGCAUCAAUUUUGACCGUUGGAUAAAGUUCAGAGGAAUGUGGCAUCUUCGGGUGUGUUAUAGCCUUUGUUCGCAUACAACGGUUGGGAUUGAGGAACUCAGCACGCCGAAAGGCCGGGUACUUGUACCACGUUCGUGCUUAGGAUGCUGGCAUAAUGGCUUUAAUCGACCCGUCUUGAAACACGGACCAAGGAGUCUAACAUGCCUGCGAGUAUUUGGGUGGAAAACCCGAGUGCGUAAUGAAAGUGAAAGUUGAGAUCCCUGUCAUGGGGAGCAUCGACGCCCGGACCAGACCUUUUGUGACGGAUCUGCGGUAGAGCAUGUAUGUUGGGACCCGAAAGAUGGUGAACUAUGCCUGAAUAGGGUGAAGCCAGAGGAAACUCUGGUGGAGGCUCGUAGCGAUUCUGACGUGCAAAUCGAUCGUCAAAUUUGGGUAUAGGGGCGAAAGACUAAUCGAACCAUCUAGUAGCUGGUUCCU